RNAcentral lists this transfer RNA (75 nucleotides) under Candidatus Daviesbacteria bacterium RIFCSPHIGHO2_01_FULL_44_29. Its description in RNAcentral is "tRNA-Gly". It matches the Rfam family "tRNA". From Rfam's summary of the family: Transfer RNA (tRNA) molecules are approximately 80 nucleotides in length. Their secondary structure includes four short double-helical elements and three loops (D, anti-codon, and T loops). Further hydrogen bonds mediate the characteristic L-shaped molecular structure. tRNAs have two regions of fundamental functional importance: the anti-codon, which is responsible for specific mRNA codon recognition, and the 3' end, to which the tRNAs corresponding amino acid is attached (by aminoacyl-tRNA synthetases). tRNAs cope with the degeneracy of the genetic code in two manners: having more than one tRNA (with a specific anti-codon) for a particular amino acid; and 'wobble' base-pairing, i.e. permitting non-standard base-pairing at the 3rd anti-codon position. The record is from RNAcentral. Lineage: Bacteria; Candidatus Daviesiibacteriota. RNAcentral also lists the same sequence under 3 other names.
GCGGUGGUAGUUCAGUGGUAGAAUAUCUCCUUCCCAAGGAGAAGGUCGCCGGUUCAAGUCCGGUCCACCGCUCUA